UUUCCGUAGGUGAACCUGCGGAAGGAUCAUUACAGAGUUCACGCCCUCCCGGGUACAUCUCCCACCCUUGAUUUUUCAUCCCCUAGUCGCCUUGCCAGGCCGUGGACACACCAUGGGCCCCGGCUUACGCGUGACUGUCAGAGGAAACAAACCUUGUUAUUAGUGAUAUAUGAGUACCAAAAAUUAGAAAAACCUAUCAACAACGGAUCUCUUGGUUCAGGAAUCGAUGAAGAACGCAGCACACCGGUAGAGCAUACGUUCGCACUCCAGUAGCCAUUA
This 279-nucleotide unclassified non-coding RNA is filed under the name plant metagenome. RNAcentral's name for it is "partial contains small subunit ribosomal RNA, internal transcribed spacer 1, and 5.8S ribosomal RNA". The record is from RNAcentral.